GACGAACGCUGGCGGCGUGCUUAACACAUGCAAGUCGAACGGAAAGGCCCUGCUUUUGUGGGGUGCUCGAGUGGCGAACGGGUGAGUAACACGUGAGUAACCUGCCCUUGACUUUGGGAUAACUUCAGGAAACUGGGGCUAAUACCGGAUAGGAGCUCCUGCUGCAUGGUGGGGGUUGGAAAGUUUCGGCGGUUGGGGAUGGACUCGCGGCUUAUCAGCUUGUUGGUGGGGUAGUGGCUUACCAAGGCUUUGACAGGUAGCCGGCCUGGGAGGGUGACCGGCCACAUUGGGACUGAGAUACGGCCCAGACUCCUACGGGAGGCAGAAGUGGGGAAUAUUGCACAAUGGGCGGAAGCCUGAUGCAGCAACGCCGCGUGCGGGAUGACGGCCUUCGGGUUGUAAACCGCUUUCGCCUGUGACGAAGCGUGAGUGACGGUAAUGGGUAAAGAAGCACCGGCUAACUACGUG
This 468-nucleotide ribosomal RNA is filed under the name uncultured bacterium. RNAcentral's name for it is "partial 16S ribosomal RNA". It matches the Rfam family "Bacterial small subunit ribosomal RNA", at positions 28 to 507 of the family's 1533-position model. The record is from RNAcentral.